This 491-nucleotide ribosomal RNA is filed under the name uncultured bacterium. RNAcentral's name for it is "partial 16S ribosomal RNA". It matches the Rfam family "Bacterial small subunit ribosomal RNA", at positions 29 to 506 of the family's 1533-position model. The record is from RNAcentral.
AGUGAACGCUGGCGAUAGGCCUAACACAUGCAAGUCGAACAGCAGCACAGUAAGAGCUUGCUCUUACGGGUGGCGAGUGGCGGACGGGUGAGGAAUACAUCGGAAUCUACUUUUUCGUGGGGGAUAACGUAGGGAAACUUACGCUAAUACCGCAUACGACCUACGGGUGAAAGCAGGGGAUCUUCGGACCUUGCGCGAUUGAAUGAGCCGAUGUCGGAUUAGCUAGUUGGCGGGGUAAAGGCCCACCAAGGCGACGAUCCGUAGCUGGUCUGAGAGGAUGAUCAGCCACACUGGAACUGAGACACGGUCCAGACUCCUACGGGAGGCAGCAGUGGGGAAUAUUGGACAAUGGGCGCAAGCCUGAUCCAGCCAUACCGCGUGGGUGAAGAAGGCCUUCGGGUUGUAAAGCCCUUUUGUUGGGAAAGAAAAGCAGCAGGUUAAUACCCCGCUGUUCUGACGGUACCCAAAGAAUAAGCACCGGCUAACUUCGU